RNAcentral lists this ribosomal RNA (838 nucleotides) under Alternaria scirpivora. RNAcentral describes it as "partial large subunit ribosomal RNA". It matches the Rfam family "Eukaryotic large subunit ribosomal RNA", at positions 81 to 937 of the family's 3401-position model. The record is from RNAcentral. Lineage: Eukaryota; Fungi; Ascomycota; Dothideomycetes; Pleosporales; Pleosporaceae.
UAGUAACGGCGAGUGAAGCGGCAACAGCUCAAAUUUGAAAUCUGGCUCUUUUAGAGUCCGAGUUGUAAUUUGCAGAGGGCGCUUUGGCUUUGGCAGCGGUCCAAGUUCCUUGGAACAGGACGUCACAGAGGGUGAGAAUCCCGUACGUGGUCGCUGGCUAUUGCCGUGUAAAGCCCCUUCGACGAGUCGAGUUGUUUGGGAAUGCAGCUCUAAAUGGGAGGUACAUUUCUUCUAAAGCUAAAUAUUGGCCAGAGACCGAUAGCGCACAAGUAGAGUGAUCGAAAGAUGAAAAGCACUUUGGAAAGAGAGUCAAACAGCACGUGAAAUUGUUGAAAGGGAAGCGCUUGCAGCCAGACUUGCUUGCAGUUGCUCAUCCGGGCUUUUGCCCGGUGCACUCUUCUGUAGGCAGGCCAGCAUCAGUUUGGGCGGUGGGAUAAAGGUCUCUGUCACGUACCUCUCUUCGGGGAGGCCUUAUAGGGGAGACGACAUACCACCAGCCUGGACUGAGGUCCGCGCAUCUGCUAGGAUGCUGGCGUAAUGGCUGUAAGCGGCCCGUCUUGAAACACGGACCAAGGAGUCUAACAUCUAUGCGAGUGUUUGGGUGUCAAGCCCGAGCGCGUAAUGAAAGUGAACGGAGGUAGGAACCCGUAAGGGUGCACUAUCGACCGAUCCUGAUGUCUUCGGAAGGAUUUGAGUAAGAGCAUGGCUGUUGGGACCCGAAAGAUGGUGAACUAUGCUUGAAUAGGGUGAAGCCAGAGGAAACUCUGGUGGAGGCUCGCAGCGGUUCUGACGUGCAAAUCGAUCGUCAAAUUUGGGCAUAGGGGCGAAAGACUAAUCG